UACGAAGGGGGCUAGCGUUGUUCGGAAUUACUGGGCGUAAAGCGCACGUAGGCGGAUUGAUCAGUUAGGGGUGAAAUCCCAGGGCUCAACCCUGGAACUGCCUUUAAUACUGUCAGUCUAGAGAUCGAGAGAGGUGAGUGGAAUUCCGAGUGUAGAGGUGAAAUUCGUAGAUAUUCGGAGGAACACCAGUGGCGAAGGCGGCUCACUGGCUCGAUACUGACGCUGAGGUGCGAAAGCGUGGGGAGCAAACAGG
RNAcentral lists this ribosomal RNA (253 nucleotides) under uncultured bacterium. RNAcentral describes it as "partial 16S ribosomal RNA". It matches the Rfam family "Bacterial small subunit ribosomal RNA", at positions 524 to 776 of the family's 1533-position model. The record is from RNAcentral.